This 315-nucleotide ribosomal RNA is filed under the name uncultured Glomus. RNAcentral's name for it is "SSU rRNA". It matches the Rfam family "Eukaryotic small subunit ribosomal RNA", at positions 783 to 1092 of the family's 1831-position model. The record is from RNAcentral. Lineage: Eukaryota; Fungi; Glomeromycota; Glomeromycetes; Glomerales; Glomeraceae.
GGCUCACGCUUGAAUACAUUAGCAUGGAAUAAUGAAAUAGGACGUUUGAUUCUAUUUUGUUGGUUUCUUAGGAUCGACGUAAUGAUUAAUAAGGAUAGUUGGGGGCGAUUAGUAUUCAAUUGUCAGAGGUGAAAUUCUUGGAUUUAUUGAAGACUAACUACUGCGAAAAGCAUUUUGCCAAGGAUGUUUUCAUUAAUCAAGAACGAAAGUUAGGGGAUCGAAGACGAUCAGAUACCGUCGUAGUCUUAACCAUAAACUAUGCCGACUAGGGAUCGGAUGAUGUUAAUUUUUUAAUGACUCAUUCGGCGCCUUACG